Molecule: ribosomal RNA, 150 nt
Filed under: uncultured eukaryote
Lineage: Eukaryota
Description: partial small subunit ribosomal RNA
Rfam family: Eukaryotic small subunit ribosomal RNA
Source: RNAcentral
CCCUGCCCUUUGUACACACCGCCCGUCGCUACUACCGAUUGAAUGUCUUAGUGAGGACCACGGAUCGCUGUCUUGGGUGGCAACACCCCUGACGGUGAGAAGUGGUCCAAACUUGAACAUUUAGAGGAAGUAAAAGUCGUAACAAGGUUU